Molecule: ribosomal RNA, 428 nt
Filed under: uncultured archaeon
Lineage: Archaea
Description: bacterial SSU rRNA
Rfam family: Archaeal small subunit ribosomal RNA
Source: RNAcentral
UACCUGCAGCUCAAGUGGUGGCCACUAUUAUUGGGCCUAAAACGUCCGUAGCCGGUUUAGUUAAUGCCUGGGUAAAUUGUGUAGCUCUACUAUACGAAUACCGGGUAGACUGCUAAACUUGGGACCGGGAGAGGCUAGAGGUACUCCUGGGGUAGAGGUGAAAUUCUGUAAUCCUAGGGGGACCACCAGUGGCGAAGGCGUCUAGCCAGAACGGGUUCGACGGUGAGGGACGAAGCCCUGGGGCGCAAACCGGAUUAGAUACCCGGGUAGUCCAGGGUGUAAACGCUGCUCGCUUGAUGUUAGUCGGGCUCCGAGCCCAACUAGUGUCGGAGAGAAGUUGUUAAGCGAGCUGCCUGGGAAGUACGGUCGCAAGGCUGAAACUUAAAGGAAUUGGCGGGGAGCACAGCAACGGGUGGAGCGUGCGGUUU